GAAGAACAAGUAAGUUCUAAUUUUAUAAUUAUGCGCUAUCUAAUGUAUUUAGAUUAAUGUGUUUCUUCAUAUGUAAAGGUUACAAGAACGGUAAAUUAUUUUCCAGAUGAUAUAAAAUGUUGUGAAAUGGGUUUUUUAUAGGAAAAUUACCAGUUAUUUUCAUUUAUAGGUAUAAAAAUUGACCAAUUGAUAAAAUAUUACUAAUAUUAGCCAAAUUAGCCAAUUAGCUAUUUUUAGCAAAAUAGUAUCAAAUUUUUGUUUUGUUUGAGUAGGUGUUAUUAGAAUAGAUUGGGCACAACUUAGGGAGCUUGAAUCUCGGUUUUGGAAUGAUUUGGGGAAGUUUUGAGGUGGUUUGAAUUGAAAAUUCGGUAAAAACUUAUGAACAUGAAAAAAAAUAAAAUGUGUAUCACACUGUGUAUUAUUUGUGUAUCACAUAUGUAUCAUAUUUGUAUCUGUUUUGUAUCACGUGUAUACCUGUGUGUGAGAUACAUGCAUGAUACAUGUGUCGCAGAAGACUUUUUUUAACUCGAUUUAAUUACGAAUUUGAUACAAAACCAGUCUAAAUCACCUCCAAUCUUCCUCAAAUUUUGUAUAUUGACUUAUCUAUAUAUUUUCAGUGAAUUUCAAUUAUACCCAUUAAAAAAGUUCCUUUUGUUUAGAUUUUUAGAAUAUUUUAUAUAUUAUUGUAUUUCAUCUCCUUAUUUCUACAUCAUCUAUAAAAUUUCCUUUCCAUCUUGUAUCUAAUGUUGCUAAUCACGCUUUAAAAUAUGGAAGGUGAUUUUUGCAUGUGAUUCUUUGAGAGAAAGAACCCUAUUAUUUGAUUUUUUAAUUUUUAUUGGCUAGUUUAGGUAAGUCUAUGAUUAAUGGCUAGAUGGUAAGUUGAGAUUUAUUUAGGACAUUAUUGUAUGUUUCCUUUUUAAAAAAUAGUAAUCCUAUUCGUAAUUAACCAACCAAUUUAUAUUUAUCUGUUACAAUAAUUUAUUGCAUUUAUUUUACGUUACAUAAUUAAUUCGUAACUGAUAGCAUAAUAAUGGUAAAUCUAGUAUAACUCGGGAUUAAUUGAUUCUCUCGUCACUCAUAAUUAUGGGUGAUUCUUCAUACCCGGCCGGUGUUAUUCUCUUAUGAUCACUUGGGGACUAAUGGUUACGUUACUAAUUAAUAUGUUUAGCUCCGAGUGCAUUUUACACUUUAUUCUUCACUUCCUUCGUAGUUUUGCUUACGCAUAUUAUCAUUUAAUUGAUCCACGAGUUUAUUUUCUACUAAUACAAAAAAUUUGUUGAGAGUAGAGAUUAAAGUUAUAACAGGAUGAGUUGUACUAACGUAUUAGAAGUGUAUGAAUCUGGAUGUCAGUUUGUGAAGAAAAGAGUGUGGACUUAUGGCAAAGAUGUGAAUCGAUCAAUCAAAUACGUCUCAACUUCAUAUUAAGUGGGACUGUUUACAUAUAUGUUUAAUAUAACUUUUUGUCCAUUUAAUUAGUUUCAACAAUAUUAAUAAAAAUUCGUGCAAAUGAAAGGUUUUAGUACUUACUAUAAGAUAUUGCAUUUUCAUGUUGGUUUUAUGUUACAUUUUGUGGGCUAGUGAAAUUGCACAACACCAUAUACAUAUAAAACAUCAGUUCGGUACUCUAAGUUCUCGAUAGUCGUGCGCAAAAUUUAAAGAAGGACCAAACUAUAUUAGCAAACUCUUGCUUUCAUGGCUUGAAUCUAUGGGGCUCUCGGUCGUAUCAUGAUAAUCUUUACCAUUGUACUAGAGACAGAGCUCCCCUUUACCAUUUAUACAUCUAUAUAAAAUAAAAUAUCUCUAUAACAGUCUUAUUUGUUUCAAAUAUUUUUAAAUAUUAUAACAAGUGUUGUUAUAUAGAACAUAUAUUAUAACAUUAAAUGAAAAUUGGUUCCAGAAAAACUUAAUUUUUAUAGUGAAGUGUUGUUAUAUAGAAAUAAUGUUACAAAGAGAUCUGACCGUUUGACAUAUACUUCGAGUCUAGUUUCCUUUCACACUAUAAUCCCCUCUAAUGUACAUGACACUAAGCGUGUAAAGUAGAAAAGGUAUGGUCUUUGAUGCUUCUUCAAUAUUAUUGAGUGUAUUGGGUUUUUAUAAAGAGUUUAGCUUCUAUUCAAUGGCAACCACGAAAAGGUAAUUUUGUACGCUAUUAGAUUACUACGGUAGAAAAUAAUUAUAGGUAAACCUAUAUAAUAAUAAUUAAAAAAAACAGUACCGUUGCACUAAUUAAGCCGACCCCGCUUUGGGCGGAGUCAUUAAUUAUAGCAAUCUCGAAAUAUUACUGCGAUAAGCUAAAAUAUAAUGAUGAUCAUGAAAAUUUCAUACAUUGUUAGUGUGUGUAUAUAUAUAUAUAACUUAAUAAAUUCUUCAUCAAAUUAAAAUUAUUAUAUUGCUUUUGAAUGUUUAAUUUUGAAGGAGGAUGAUGGGGAAGGAACUUGAAGGCAUGAAGUUCAAAGAGUUGCAGAAGUUAGGGCAUCAGCUAAUUAACUGAAGGCCUUUUAACUGUUAAGAAUAAGAAGAUUAAUCGAUCUGCGUCAUUAGCCAGUUAUUAUGUUUAAUUAUCGUUAAUUACAUCGUCGAUCGUUAAAAUGGAGAGUGGGAAAAAGAAAAGGUGGAGUGUUUAAUUAAGCUUUUCGUCAUGUACUAUAUUUGAGGAACAAGUACUACUGGAGCUACUUGAAAAAUCAAGGCUGCAUGUAAACUUAUAUUUAAGAAUAAGAAGAUGGUAAGCGACCUCCAUUUCCAACCGAGAGGUUGUGAGUUCGAGUCUCCCCGAAGAGCAAGGUGGGAAGUUCUUGGAGGGAAGUAUGCCGGGGGUCUAUUUGGAAACAGCCUCUC
Molecule: long non-coding RNA, 2838 nt
Filed under: Nicotiana benthamiana
Lineage: Eukaryota; Viridiplantae; Streptophyta; Magnoliopsida; Solanales; Solanaceae
Description: long non-coding RNA (NBEN_LNC041773)
Source: RNAcentral